Molecule: ribosomal RNA, 512 nt
Filed under: uncultured bacterium
Lineage: Bacteria
Description: partial 16S ribosomal RNA
Rfam family: Bacterial small subunit ribosomal RNA
Source: RNAcentral
GACGAACGCUGGCGGCGUGCCUAAUACAUGCAAGUCGAGCGGAUUGAUGGGAGCUUGCUCCCUGAUAUCAGCGGCGGACGGGUGAGUAACACGUGGGCAACCUGCCUAUAAGACUGGGAUAACUUCGGGAAACCGGAGCUAAUACCGGAUAAUCCCUUUCCUCUCAUGAGGAAAGGCUGAAAGAUGGUUUACGCUAUCACUUAUAGAUGGGCCCGCGGCGCAUUCGCUAGUUGGUGAGGUAACGGCUCACCAAGGCAACGAUGCGUAGCCGACCGGAGAGGGUGAUCGGCCACACUGGAGCUGAGACACGGCCCAGACUCCUACGGGAGGCAGCAGUAGGGAAUCUUCCGCAAUGGACGAAAGUCUGACGGAGCAACGCCGCGUGAGUGAUGAAGGUUUUCGGAUCGUAAAACUCUGUUGUUAGGGAAGAACAAGUACGAGAGUAACUGCUCGUACCUUGACGGUACCUAACCAGAAAGCCACGGCCAACUACGUGCCAGCCGCCGCCGUAA